RNAcentral lists this unclassified non-coding RNA (4396 nucleotides) under Amphibalanus amphitrite. RNAcentral's name for it is "protein strawberry notch homolog 1-like, transcript variant X1". Lineage: Eukaryota; Metazoa; Arthropoda; Thecostraca; Balanomorpha; Balanidae. The record is from RNAcentral.
CCCCCCUGCCCACGCUGCACGCGCUGCACGCUUACCCCCUGGAUGUGUCUCCAACGAAGGCCGUAUUCUCCAACAAACUUUUCGAAUUAUGUCUACUAGGAAAAGGAGUUCCGCAAACGCGAUGAAUAAAUAUAAGGAGGAAUCUGAUGGGUCAGUGUCAUCGGAGGACUCGGACUACGAUCCCGACGAAACGGAGGUCCCAGGUGGCGGGAAGAGCAUCACCGCCCUGGGCGACGCCCCGGCGCCGGCCGACCUGCUCUCGUCAGCCCUCUCCUCGGCAGGCGUGGCCGGCAGCUCUGGCGUUAACGCAGACCGCCACGCCAAGAUCGACCGCAUGAUUCGUGAUGGCGUGCUGACCAAGGCGGGCCCGACGGGAGGGCAAGCGGGCUACCAAGUCAUCAGCAGCGCGGAGCCGUCCACACCGAGCGCCGCCGGCACUCUGGUGCAAAACUCUCUGACGGCCUCCGGCUCUGGACUGCCUCCGGCCGCGGCAUCCGGACUGCCUGCCGCCGCCGCUCGGAUGAAGGUGGCCGUCAAACCUACCGGGGCGAUGGGUGCGGCGGCCGUGAUGAGUCCAAUGAUGGUGCAGGCGAUGGCCGGUCAGCUGGCCCAGAUGGGCCUUCCGCCCAUGAACAUGGCCCAGAUCCAGAGCCUGCUACUGCAGCAGAUGAUGAGCCAGAAGCUCCCGCCGCCUCCGAGCCUCUUCUUAGGAGGAGACUCUAAGCUGGCCGCUCCGCCCGAAGACGAGCACGGCGAGGAGGACGACGACGACAUGGGCGUGGUGGAAACAUACGCCGACUACAUGCCGGCAAAAUUGAAGCUGGGCCGGAAGCACCCAGAUCCGGUGGUGGAGACAGCCUCACUGGCCAGCGUUCCGCCCACCGAUGUGUGGUACCGGCUGUCGCUGCCCGAGGAGCUCAUCAGCCAGGGCCGGCUGUCGGCGCUUCAGCUGGAGGCCGUCGUAUACUCCUGUCAGGCGCACUCGCAGUUUCUGCAGGACGGCACUCGCGCUGGCUUCCUAGUCGGUGACGGUGCGGGUGUCGGCAAAGGACGCACCAUCGCAGGACUGAUCUACGAGAAUUACCUGAAAGGCCGCAAAAAAGCCAUCUGGGUAUCCGUUUCCAACGACCUUAAGUACGACGCAGAAAGAGACCUGAGCGACAUCGGCGCCGGAAAAAUCAGCGUGUACGCCCUUAACAAGAUGAAGUACGCCAAAAUCAACUCGGUUGUAAACGGAGACGUCAAAAAGGGCGUGGUCUACUCGACGUACUCGUCACUGAUUGGCGAAUCGUCCACGGUGGGCGGGAAGUACAAGACGCGGCUCAAACAGUUAGUCCACUGGUGUGGUGACGACUUCGAUGGACUGAUCGUCUUUGACGAGUGCCACCGGGCCAAGAACUUGUGCCCGGUUGGUUCAUCCAAGCCGACCAAGACGGGCCUGACAGUGCUCGAGCUGCAGAAGCAGCUGCCCAAGGCGCGCGUCGUAUACGCCUCAGCCACCGGCGCCUCCGAGCCUAAGAACAUGGCCUACAUGGUGCGGCUUGGAAUCUGGGGCGCCGGCACGCCGUUCAGAGAGUUCAGCGACUUCAUAUCGGCGGUGGAGAAGCGUGGUGUGGGAGCCAUGGAGAUUGUGGCGAUGGAUAUGAAGCUGCGCGGCUCGUACAUGGCGCGCCAGCUGAGCUUCCACGGGACGGCCUUCCGCAUCGACGAGGUGCGCCUGACGCCCGAGAUGGUGGCCCUGUACGACGACUCGGUGCGCCUCUGGGUGGAGGCGCGAGAAAAGUUCCAGCGCGCCGCAGAGCUGAUCGACGCCGACAAGUCGCUCAAAAAGUCCAUGUGGGGCCAGUUCUGGUCUGCCCACCAGAGGUUCUUCAAGUACCUCUGCAUUGGCGCCAAGGUCAAACAUGUGGUCAACAUUGCCAGUAAUUCCAUGAAGAUGGGGAAGUGUGUGGUGAUCGGCAUGCAGUCUACAGGCGAGGCACGCACACUAGAGCAGCUUGAGAGAGACGACGGGGAGCUCACCGACUUCGUCUCCACGUCCAAGGGCGUGGUUCAAUCGCUGAUUGAGAAACACUUUCCUGCGCCGGACCGCGACCGCAUCAGUCGGCUGCUGGGCAUGCAGCCGGACCGGCCGUCGCCACAGUUCCAGGCCAUUCUGGACGAGAUCAAGGACGAGGCCUCGGCCAGCGGCGCCGCCAAACGAAAGCCAGUGAGGCAAGCGGCGCGCAGGGCCAUCAAACGCUACAAGCACGCCUCGAGCGGCUCCGACUCAGAGCCGGGCUCGGACCCGGCGCCACGCCGCGGCCGUGGCGUCGCUCACGACUCCGACUUCAAAAUGUCCGACUCCGAUGAUGAUGAGGAGGGGGCCAGCGGAGAGGCUGAGGACUCCGACUCCUCCGUCCACUCGGAAGACAUGAGCGACGAGGACGAGGAGUGGUCCGGUAGCCGGCGGCGGCGCAACAACGCUAAACCGAAAAGGGCACCUGCCAGAGACAAGUUCGCGUACAUGUCGUCCGGGAGCAGGAGCGGCGGCGCCGAGUACGCGCCGCCCAGCCACGGCGCCGUGGAGCUGGCCUGCCAGAUGAAGGACGAGCUGCUGAGGAAGGUGGAUCAGCUGGGCAGCCGGCUGCCGGCCAACACGCUGGACGAGCUCAUCGACCAGCUCGGCGGCACCGAGAACGUGGCGGAGAUGACUGGUCGCAAAGGCCGGGUAGUCCAACACGACGACGGCCAGAUAGCGUACGAGUCGCGCUCCGAGCAAGAUGUGCCGCUCGAGACGCUUAACCUGGAGGAAAAGCGACGCUUCAUGGACGGAGAGAAAGAUAUCGCCAUCAUCUCUGAGGCGGCCUCGUCCGGUAUAUCGCUGCAGAGUGACCGGCGAGUUAAAAACCAGCGCCGGCGCGUGCACAUCACCCUGGAGCUGCCGUGGAGCGCCGAUCGCGCCAUUCAGCAGUUCGGUCGCACCCAUCGCAGCAACCAGGUGAACGCGCCCGAAUAUGUGUUCCUGAUCUCGGAGCUGGCUGGCGAGCGACGGUUCGCCUCCAUUGUCGCCAAACGGCUGGAGAGUCUGGGUGCGCUGACACACGGUGACCGGCGUGCCACCGAGUCGCGUGACCUGUCACGGUUCAACAUCGAUAACAAGUAUGGCCGCGCUGCGCUGGAGGCCACCAUGAAGACGGUGAUGGGCUACGAGCAGCCCAUCGUGCCACCACCGGACGACUACAAGGGCAACUUUUUCCUCGACAUUCGACGGGCGCUGGUCGGCGUGGGCCUCAUCACACACGAGAACGGCUCCUACAUGCUCGACAAGGACUUCAACAAUAUGAGCAAGUUCCUGAACCGGAUCCUGGGAAUGCCGGUGGAUCUUCAGAAUAGGCUCUUCAAGUACUUCACCGACACGUUGUCGGCUAUCGUCACGCAGGCCAAGAAGACGGGCCGCUACGACAUGGGCAUCCUUGACCUGGGCUCGCAGGAGGGAUCUGUGCGACGCACCAAGCUGCGCGUAUACCUGCACAAGCACGCCACGGGCACGGGCCGCACGGAGCUGCACACGGUGAACGUGGAGCGGGGCUGCAGCUGGACUGAGGCGCAGCGCAAGUGGGCCGAUCUCGAGUCUCCCACUGAGGGCUUCUACGUGUCCCACCAGGUGCGCAACGGCAAGCUGACGGCCAUGCUGGCCACGCUGGCGGAUUCAUCGUCCAAAAUGAAGCAAGUGAAGAAGGAGGACCAGCUGUACACCGUGUGUCGGCCCAACACGGGCGUCCAGGCUCGGUGUUGCACGUGUGGACGCGGGUGGAGGGCGUGCUGUCUGCGGCCAGCGUCAGCCCGGCCCAACAGAAGAUGCAGGUCAUCCGGGUGCGCUGCUCCGACCAGCUCAAAAUCGUCGGCAUUGUGGUACCCAAUCACGUGGUGCCCAACAUGAUGACCAUGCUCGAGGAAGCCGCCGACUCGCACUUCGUAGAACAUCUAGACAAGGAAUAAGCCGACCGGGCGGUGCUGGCGCUACAGGACCGCCAGUAUCACCUUGGAGAGCCAGCCGGGCAGACUGCCCCGCAGAUCCAGACGGGCCGUCGCCGCUAACUGUAACUGUCUGACCGCGGUGUCCCCUCACUACGCGGCCUGUUCAUUAGAUAGUGACAAUUCUGUGUACCUUUAUUAGUGACCUGAAGGGCAGUUUUCAUUCAGUUGCAUUUACGUGGUGUCUGUGCGAUAUAGCCGGAGUGAGGACGUGUGCUCAGGUCCGGACAGACAGUGACCUCAGUUGGCGCUGGUGCGCCGCACCUGAUCGAGGCGGCUCGCGCUCCCGGCAAGUCCAACUUUGGCAAAUCCUGUCGCCACGCUUCAUUGACUUUCCCUGGAUCAUCGUUACAUUGAAAAAAUACAAAGCAUUUGCAUA